AUCCAGUUGACGAGUCUCGAAUAGGACGAAACGCGCUUCAAACUGGAU
Schistosoma mansoni is the source of this 48-nucleotide non-coding RNA. The record is from Rfam. Lineage: Eukaryota; Metazoa; Platyhelminthes; Trematoda; Strigeidida; Schistosomatidae.